ACUCAAAGGAAUUGACGGGGACCCGCACAAGCGGUGGAUGAUGUGGAUUAAUUCGAUGCAACGCGAAAAACCUUACCUACCCUUGACAUGCCACUAACGAAGCAGAGAUGCAUUAGGUGCCCGAAAGGGAAAGUGGACACAGGUGCUGCUUGGCUGUCGUCAGCUCGUGUCGUGAGAUGUUGGGUUAAGUCCCGCAACGAGCGCAACCCUUGUCUUUAGUUGCUACGCAAGAGCACUCUAGAGAGACUGCCGGUGACAAACCGGAGGAAGGUGGGGAUGACGUCAAGUCCUCAUGGCCCUUAUGGGUAGGGCUUCACACGUCAUACAAUGGUGCGUACAGAGGGUUGCCAACCCGCGAGGGGGAGCCAAUCCCAGAAAACGCAUCGUAGUCCGGAUCGUAGUCUGCAACUCGACUACGUGAAGCUGGAAUCGCUAGUAAUCGCGGAUCAGCAUGCCGCGGUGAAUACGUUCCCGGGUCUUGUACACACCGCCCGUCACACCAUGGGAGUGGGUUUUGCCAGAAGUGGGUAGCCUAACCGCAAGGAGGGCGCUUACCACGGCAGGGUUCAUGACUGGGGUGAAGUCGUAACAAGGUAGCCGC
Molecule: ribosomal RNA, 601 nt
Filed under: Cupriavidus respiraculi
Lineage: Bacteria; Pseudomonadati; Pseudomonadota; Betaproteobacteria; Burkholderiales; Burkholderiaceae
Description: bacterial SSU rRNA
Rfam family: Bacterial small subunit ribosomal RNA
Source: RNAcentral